GGCAUCUUCCUGGCCGUCUGCAGAGGGCAUCUUGGGAAGAAGCAUCCCAUGUUGUACACAGCAAAGCCAUUCCCAGGCUUUCCUGGCCUGUAGUAGGAAGAUGCUGAAGAAGCUCUGAGAAAGCUGAUGGGAGAGCUGCAGCACAGAACCUGUUGCCUGUCCGGAAUAAAGGCAUCAUGUAUGUUGCAUAUAAGGGCAACAUGAGCUUAGGCAGAAGUGAGGAGCGUGGGGAGCCGUGUCAGGAGCGGCUGCUGGAGAUCCGCUCGUCCGGACGAGGCGGCGCUGGAGCCGCCCUGGGCCACGCGGAGAAGGGUCUUCCCCUGGGCUGCUCCUUGCGUCCGUAUGCCUCUUACCCUGCUCAUCUGAGAGCCAAGAACAACCCACAUCUCCGCCUAACCUGUAAUUUUGUCUUUUCCUUAUGUGUCRCUUAGGUAAAAGAGAAUACUUUAGUUAAUCCGUCUAUUACAAARCUAUUAAUGUCACUAGCUCUUAUAGUUGUGCUCAGAUGGGCRAAAUGUCUCCCAUUUCUGAAUAUCUGUGUUACUACUGAUACCUUUCCCUAAUCCACUUUGUACAGCUGCACCAAAUUACUGCUUUUUUUCCCCCCUCYGAUAUGUAUACUUUAUGCUUAAAAAUGCUCUUGAAAUAUCACAGAGAGCUCUGUG
Molecule: long non-coding RNA, 665 nt
Organism: Nothoprocta perdicaria
Lineage: Eukaryota; Metazoa; Chordata; Aves; Tinamiformes; Tinamidae
Exons: 2
Source: RefSeq, a predicted model, not a curated record